CCUUCGAUAGCUCAGUUGGUAGAGCGGAGGACUGUAGUGGAGUGAGCUGUGGUGAUCCUUAGGUCGCUGGUUCGAUUCCGGCUCGAAGGA
RNAcentral lists this transfer RNA (90 nucleotides) under Otolemur garnettii (small-eared galago). It matches the Rfam family "tRNA". From Rfam's summary of the family: Transfer RNA (tRNA) molecules are approximately 80 nucleotides in length. Their secondary structure includes four short double-helical elements and three loops (D, anti-codon, and T loops). Further hydrogen bonds mediate the characteristic L-shaped molecular structure. tRNAs have two regions of fundamental functional importance: the anti-codon, which is responsible for specific mRNA codon recognition, and the 3' end, to which the tRNAs corresponding amino acid is attached (by aminoacyl-tRNA synthetases). tRNAs cope with the degeneracy of the genetic code in two manners: having more than one tRNA (with a specific anti-codon) for a particular amino acid; and 'wobble' base-pairing, i.e. permitting non-standard base-pairing at the 3rd anti-codon position. The record is from Rfam by way of RNAcentral. Lineage: Eukaryota; Metazoa; Chordata; Mammalia; Primates; Galagidae.